GAUGAACGCUGGCGGCGUGCCUAAUACAUGCAAGUCGAGCGAACAGACGAGGAGCUUGCUCCUCUGACGUUAGCGGCGGACGGGUGAGUAACACGUGGAUAACCUACCUAUAAGACUGGGAUAACUUCGGGAAACCGGAGCUAAUACCGGAUAAUAUAUUGAACCGCAUGGUUCAAUAGUGAAAGACGGUAUUGCUUUCACUUAUAGAUGGAUCCGCGCCGCAUUAGCUAGUUGGUAAGGUAACGGCUUACCAAGGCGACGAUGCGUAGCCGACCUGAGAGGGUGAUCGGCCAGCCUGGAACUGAGACACGGUCCAGACUCCUACGGGAGGCAGCAGUAGGGAAUCUUACGCGAUGGGCGAGAGCCUGACGGAGCAACGCCGCGUGAGUGAUGAAGGUCUUCGGAUCGUAAAACUAUGUUAUUAGGGAAGAACAAAUGUGUAAGUACCUAUGAACGUCUUGACGGUACCUAAUCAGAAAGCCACGGCUAACUACGUG
RNAcentral lists this ribosomal RNA (497 nucleotides) under uncultured bacterium. RNAcentral describes it as "partial 16S ribosomal RNA". It matches the Rfam family "Bacterial small subunit ribosomal RNA", at positions 28 to 507 of the family's 1533-position model. The record is from RNAcentral.